Molecule: ribosomal RNA, 487 nt
Filed under: Chromis elerae
Lineage: Eukaryota; Metazoa; Chordata; Actinopteri; Pomacentridae
Description: partial small subunit ribosomal RNA
Rfam family: Bacterial small subunit ribosomal RNA
Source: RNAcentral
CACUAUGCAUAGCCGUAAACUCUGAUAGGCCCAUACGCCCCCUAUCCGCCCGGGUAGUACGAGCACUAGCUUGAAACCCAAAGGACCUGGCGGUGCUUUACAUCCACCUAGAGGAGCCUGUUCUAGAACCGAUACUCCACGUUUAACCUCACCUUCUCUUGUUUUUUCCAGCCUGUAUACCGCCGCCAUAAAUUUACCCCGUGAGGGUCCCGUAGUGAGUAGGAUUGGUAACCCAGCCCAAUAUGUCAGGUCGAGGUGCAGCUUAUGAGAAGGGAAGAAAUGGGCUACAUUCCCUGACUCAGGGAACUACGGACUAUGGCCUGAAACGGACAUAACACAAGGAGGAUUUAGUAGUAAGAGGAAAAUAGAAAAUUCCCCUGAAUUCUGGCUCUAAAGCGCGCACACACCGCCCGUCACCCUCCCCCAUUCUUGAGUUACAACUAUUACAUAAAACCUCAAAUCUGCUAUCAGGGGAGGAAAGUCGUAA